Orussus abietinus is the source of this 1367-nucleotide long non-coding RNA. RefSeq lists it as uncharacterized. The transcript is spliced from 2 exons. Lineage: Eukaryota; Metazoa; Arthropoda; Insecta; Hymenoptera; Orussidae. The record is from RefSeq and is a predicted model, not a curated record.
UAUUCAUUGCGCGAGUACCAGACCCGACAUAGUAGUCAAACCGGAAUCACAUUCUCGCCCGGCAGCUCUCCCGGUGAUUUCUUUAAUCGACACCGCUAUCGCCAGGAUCGCGAGAUCGCAGGAUCGCUCGUGAUCCUUCGUGCACAUCGAUACCCAGGGAACUGGACUUUACGUAAGCCGUGAUUCAUCCUCGGACAGGAAUUCCAGAGCAUUUUACAUAUAAUGGGCGAUAUACCGCAUGCCGACUUUACGCGAACCAUAUCGAUCAGCCAACGGAGGGCCGUAAAGCAUGUCGACGUGUCACCCCUCGCAAUUAUUUAUCAGCCAGGCAUCGAAUGAACGCACAUCGUGCAAACGUACGUGAAAACGUUGGAAAUGAAACUCGUCGAUGACUCACCACGAUCUGGGUCACGAGGAAACAGCCGAGACAAAGGCGUGGUGCUCUCUAGGAAUAUCUUCCAGCCUCUCUGGACCUCGAUCUGCCGGAAAGACGGCUCGGCGGAUGUCGGAGAAGUGUCGGUAUCGGCAGCGCUUUGGCAGCGUGAGACGCACGACUCGGCGUCGAAAAGAAACUGAAACCGAACCGGCAAGAAACGUUCGCCAAAGCGCCGCCGGUUACCGUAAGCCAGUUACAGUAGGGCACAGUCGGUUGCCCCGCCUUCCACCCGGCGACAUUACCGAUAAAAGUAUCAAGGUUUCGCAAACUUGGCAGACCGCGUUAAGACCUGCACAAUAUGCGCACUUCUAGUGGUCUCGAUGGCCGAGUGAAAUCGAUUGUUACUUGGCCACUGUCCUCCUAUGACCUAAGGACGACCACUUUCCAGACCUGCCCCAGAAACCCGGCCGGAAAUUAAACCGACACCUUUACGAUUUUUUCAUGCUUCUCUUAGGAAUUUAAUGCGACACGGGAAGAACUGCCCACGUGGCUUUGACGGAUUCGGAAUUCUUAGUGGGCAUGAAUGGUAAAUUCUAAUGUGCAUGAUUUAUUAAGAUGACCGCGUUUCGGAGCUGCCGCAGAAAUUCAGAACACGAAGAGGUGCCUUUUUGGUUUUAUCCAUAUUUUUCAUCUUGCAUGAAGAUACAGAAUUUAGAGAAAAAUUAAUAUCCACUGUUUUUGACGCAUUUCACUUUUGAUAUACAGGAUGGAUUACGUAGGAAAUUUUUCUAGUUUUUUUAUUUGGGACGAUUUGUAUUAUUUAUGCUAACCGUAUGUAUUGAGGUUCGAUCGAUAAAAUCGACUAUUCAAUUACUUUCGAGAUUACUUUGGCAAGGAGAUAAGGGGUCUAAAUAGCUGCUAAGAUUAUUAUUUGGUACUUCAAAGGAUAUGUAUAAAAUGUAUAAAUAAAUUGUUCAUCAACCCUGAUUAA